This 2062-nucleotide long non-coding RNA is filed under the name Lathyrus oleraceus (garden pea). Its description in RNAcentral is "Pisum sativum (pea) long non-coding RNA (PSAT_LNC010242)". Lineage: Eukaryota; Viridiplantae; Streptophyta; Magnoliopsida; Fabales; Fabaceae. The record is from RNAcentral.
UUCAAUACCAACUGAACUUGUGACCUAGUUCAGGAAGUGCUAUGUUGUUGGUUAAUGUUAACUGUUAUGCAUUUCUUGGUGUUGGAAUGUAGGUUAAAACAUGUUGCCAUGUGUUUAUGCUUCCACUACAUUGGACUGUUGGGGUAGGGCAUUGGUGUUAAUUUGAAAUGAAUUUGGAGCCAAUUUGCAAGUGAAUUUGAAGUUGAAUUUAGAGUUAAUUUAGGAUGGACUUGUUGUACUGAGAGUCAUCUAUAUUCUGACUUAAUUGGCCUUGCAGUCAUUCUGUAGCAUAGCUUCAAUGUGUUAAACCAAGUCAGUUUUGAGUCAAUUUUGGUGUUCGCAUUGAGUUGAUUAUGCUUUUCCCUGGAAACAUUAUGCAGAUUAACCUGUUCUAUUUUGAACUGUUGGAGUUGCAGGUUUUACUUGCACUGUUGUGAAUAGGUAUUGGUUGUUGUGCUAGGUUGAGAUGCUUGUUAGUGGAUGAUGGUUUUGAUGUUGCUGCAACAUAUAUGCAUUGUUGAUGAGCUGACUGAACUGUUAUUGUAAUUAGCUACAAGUUUGCAUAUGGUUUGAAGAUGCCUUGUAGACUGUCUGCUUCGUAGGAUUUAUGUUUAAAGGAUAAUUGCAGGUUUGCAUUGCUUAUGAUGUUUGGCCAUAUUGGGAUGCAACUAUAGCUUGGAAUAAGUGCGGUUCAUGUUUGGCUUUAUUUGCUCUAUUGCAGGUUUGGUUGGAUGCAAGACAUGAUGGUUCAUUGUUGGGUUGUACUUGCAUUGCCAACUGACUUGGUCUGGAUGCAACCUUGCAUGAUGUCGUGAUUCUCUUGGCCAUAGCCAUGUUCAGGUAAUGAUAAGCCCAUGUUUUAUUUCCUUUGUGAUGUACCAGAGUUGCAACAGACUUUUCAAAUGGCCAUUCCAUGAUGCAUAAGCUGACUGGUUUAGCUGAUUUGGUAUGGUGCCAUGGUGAGGUCAGACAAUGCAAAGUGUUGUGGCUGCUAUGAGGCAUGCAGGAUAGUCAUAAGGUAUUUGUUGCUAAACUGAAAUGCAAUGCCAUGAUGUAUGCUUGCCAUGUUCUUUUGCUUCCUGUUGUAAAUUGUGUCUCGAGUUUGGUUCAUGGUAUGCUCAAAUACAUGGCCUUGAUUAAUGCAUAAUUAUUUGACAUAUGUGUGCAGGUCUUGCUUUGCAGCAUGUUGUUUUUUAUAUGCAUUAGCUGCAGGAUACAUGAUGGUUUGUUGUCUUGCAAGUUGAAGGAUGCUAGGCAUGGUGUAGCAAGGCAAGCAGGGAAAAUGGCCUGAGUUGGCAGCAUGUGUUCUGACUUGUUGUAGCAUGAACCUGGCAGGUAAUAAUGCAUUAUUGGCUUGAUGUUAAUGAUGAUGAAGCUACUGUCAACAAUGUUGUCAAGGUUGGAAUUGUAGAUUACUAUGCUUUGGUUUUGGUUUGUAAUUUAUGUGUGUGUAUGAUCACUUGGUGUUAGAUCUGUUUUAGACUUGGAUUAUGGUUAAGUAAUAGUUCUUGAACUUGUAAUGGUUAUGUCAUGAAGUCAUGUUUGGAUGAAUGGACACUUAUGUUAGGGUAGUGAUAUGUUUCUUCAUUCAUUGAGCAUAUGGCUUAUUCUAUUUUAAAAUCAAGGGCAAGGGGCUAACCUGUUUCUAUUUGAAGUUCAUGACAAUGUGCUAAUUUAUAUGGUUAUGAUAUUGGUUGGUUUUGUAGGCUUGGUGGACAUGAUUUUGAACAUGGACAAUGUUACUUGUAAAUGAAUAAACAUGACACAAACAAACCAACAUGACCUUUAGAUGAUAAAUUAAGGAAAGGUGGAUUAGAUUAGAUCUUAGGUGGCCAAAAAGGGAUGAGUUGACUUUGUUCAAAAUUGACCAAAAAGUCAAUGGUUGACCAAAGUCAACACUUGGUCAAAGUUGCUAAAAUUUGUAAGUUUUUAUGUAAUGAUCAAUGUAAUGGAUUGUAAUGGUUUGCAAUGGAUUGAAUGGAAGUUAAAUGGUUUUCAAAUUGGUUUCCAAAUUGGUUUUUAUACAUGUAUAUGCUUGAAUUUAAAUUGAAAUGAACAUGGA